GGGGCUGUGGCUCAGGGGUAGAGCGUCUGCUUUGCAUACGGAAGGUCCCAAGUUCAAUUCCUGGCAUCUCCA
This 72-nucleotide transfer RNA is filed under the name Sphaerodactylus townsendi. Its description in RNAcentral is "tRNA-Ala". It matches the Rfam family "tRNA". From Rfam's summary of the family: Transfer RNA (tRNA) molecules are approximately 80 nucleotides in length. Their secondary structure includes four short double-helical elements and three loops (D, anti-codon, and T loops). Further hydrogen bonds mediate the characteristic L-shaped molecular structure. tRNAs have two regions of fundamental functional importance: the anti-codon, which is responsible for specific mRNA codon recognition, and the 3' end, to which the tRNAs corresponding amino acid is attached (by aminoacyl-tRNA synthetases). tRNAs cope with the degeneracy of the genetic code in two manners: having more than one tRNA (with a specific anti-codon) for a particular amino acid; and 'wobble' base-pairing, i.e. permitting non-standard base-pairing at the 3rd anti-codon position. Lineage: Eukaryota; Metazoa; Chordata; Lepidosauria; Squamata; Sphaerodactylidae. The record is from RNAcentral.